Molecule: ribosomal RNA, 437 nt
Filed under: uncultured myxomycete
Lineage: Eukaryota; Evosea; Eumycetozoa
Description: SSU rRNA
Rfam family: Eukaryotic small subunit ribosomal RNA
Source: RNAcentral
ACACGUAUGAAAGACAAGCUGAAAGACUUUUCUCAAUGAUGUAAGUGGUGGUGCAUGGUCGUUCUUAGUUCGUGGAGUGGUUUGUCUGGUCUAUUCCGAUAACGAGCGAGACCCCGGCGUUCCUAAUAGGGGCAGCAGCCCGGCUUGCCCGGCCCUCACGGGCUGGGCUCGCUAGCAGCUGCCUCAAACUAUGCUUCUUAGACGUAUCAGAGCCGAUAAGGUUCUUGAAAUGGGUUAAUAACAGGUCAGUCAUGCCCUUAGAUGUUCUGGGCCGCACGCGCGUUACAAUGGCAUGCUUAGAGAGUGCUCAAAAGGGCGUAUCCGCGGCCUACAGGCCGCGGUAACCCCUAGUCCCUGCCUUGACUGGGACAGACUAUUGCAAUUAUUGGUCUCGAACGAGGAAUUUUUAGUAGUCGCAGGUCAUUAACCUGCGACGA